Long non-coding RNA from Thamnophis elegans (Western terrestrial garter snake), 2067 nucleotides. RefSeq lists it as uncharacterized. The record is from RefSeq and is a predicted model, not a curated record. NCBI's taxonomy places the organism in Eukaryota, Metazoa, Chordata, Lepidosauria, Squamata, Natricidae. The transcript has 3 exons.
UUUUCACUGGCAGAGGCACUACAAGUUGGUUCUUCACUGUUUCCACAGCAGCUCCGUGGGCCUUGAGUUUGGCUGCUCUAGAACCCUUCUUUCUGUCACAAAGCAUGCCCAUUGUUGCCUAACCCAUGACUAUGCUCCAGCAAUAGUGGGUUAGGAAUAGGAGGUGUUAAGAGAUACCAAUUUGUCCACCAUCACUGAGGAAAAUGCAUGUGACUGCAUUCUGCUCGCAUAGUAUGAAAUAUCACAACAUUUUUGUUCUUCUAGAUUAUGAAAUUGUGAUAAGAUAGGUGGUCAAUAAAUCAAAUAAAUAAAACACUUUUUAAAAACAACAGUGGAACUUGUUAUCACAACUUUACCCUUCCUUCUUCCUUUCUUUAGAUUUGGCAGGAAAUUAUUAAACCAUUUAACUGGGUAUAUUCCAACAUAGCCUUGUUUUCUAGUUCUCCCUCAAAUUGAGUCAUAUUUUUUUUACCUUGGAUUGUAACAUAAAUUUGGUAAAUUUAGAACAUUUUUGUGCAGGUAAGCCUCUCCUCAUCCUAUGGCCUUCUCUGAUAGCUGAUAGCUAUGGAAACCACGGUAAAUUGAUCCAUAAUUGACUAAUCCUACUGUAUCAUAUAACAAUGCAGAGAAGGUUCAAAGUGGAAAAUAUUCAAUGCAGGAAAAUUGACUAGCUUUAAUUGACUUUCAAAAUCUGUAGUUUAAAAUGCUGACGAGACUUCAAUAAACAGAUUAGUACGGAAGAGAAACAAUGUCUGUUUGGAAUAAAAUAAAUUAUUUGUUAUUCAAAUGAGAGUGCCUUCAUGGAGUGUUUUUCCCCCCAAAACAUGUGACACCAAGAGUAAAAACUACUUUUUAAUAACAAGACAUUUUCCCUGAUUCUUUCUAUUAUCAUUACUCCUCUUUUAUAACAUAGACAAUGAGGAUACUGGCUCCUUGUUUUCUUGGCAUCUCUAUUCUUGAAGAACAACAGCUGAAAACAAUUGCAAUUAGUUCUGAUUAUUUUCAUUAGUUGUUUGUGUAUUACUGGUGGAUGUCUGUUGGAUUUUUGCAAUAAUCUGAUUUAUAAGUUUUUGAGUCUGGGAAAUAGGGUAGUGCAAAGCACUUGAAGUAGGUGGUUUGCAAAACCUGCCAGCACAAAUAAAGCAUCUCUCUCCAAAUAAUUAAACCUUUUUUGUUUUGCAAGGCUCUUAUAUUUACUUUGAAAGAAGUUAAUGUUUGCCUUCACAUGUGUGUGCAUGCUUCACUUUGUUGCUGGUCCUCGUAGAAAAGCUGAAGGAGGUGUGGGCAUGCAUGAUAAGUUCAAACAACCCAGACCGGGCAGUUGUACCAGUUGCAAGACGGUUGGUUUAAUAAUUUAAAGGUUUGCGCUAAUACAUGUUGCAAACCACUUACUUUAAAUGCUCUAUGCAACUUCAUUGUUAUUUCAGAAGAAGCUGGGAAGCAACGUUUUAAUAAACUUUCAAGAUGCCACAGUUGGAGGAAGAGAAGAGAACUGGCUAUCAGAAGUAACACCCAUGGGAAAUAUCCAAUUAGAUAUUGAGUAUGUUUCUGUAGCAGGUGGCUGAACAACUACAGAAGAUACUGAAGCUGGGAGAAUGGUGAGAAGAUGCAAUGUAUUUCACCACCAAGAGGACACCAAGACAGUACCUACAAUAGGAGCGUGAACAAUUAAAUGAAGCAAGUUGGAUUUGGCCACAGCAAAUGCAAAGAUUUUGGUAGAAUCAAGCUGAAAAAGAAGAAGCUGAGUGUGAUGAUUUCCCCAGAAAAAAAUAAAUCAUAAUAGAACACAGAAGAACAAGGGGGAAAAAAAUCUUAGCUGCUAAAAGGAGAAAAAUGCUGUGCAGUUUUUUUUUAAAAACUGUUCGAUCAAAUACAGGAAUCCCAGAUUAUAAUAAUGAAGAGUAUAUUCUUGCCCGUGAAAUUUGCCCCAGGUUAAUACGAAAUUUGGAUUCCCAGAAAAAAAUCCUUGCAGAAACAAGAUAGAGUAACUGAACAAAGCAUGUUGCAGUAUAAUUUUCAUAUGGAUUAAAGUGAGGGAAGACAUAUUGAGGACUACAGCAAAGCACC